Pelobates cultripes (western spadefoot toad) is the source of this 543-nucleotide non-coding RNA. The record is from the annotation of a GenBank genome assembly. Lineage: Eukaryota; Metazoa; Chordata; Amphibia; Anura; Pelobatidae.
UAAUAGCAGCUAUUCAGAUGCUGUAUUGUGGCAAUCUUUAUACACACAAUGUGAAAUUGCCAAUAGUGAAAUUGACAAGAAAUUGUUUGUUAAUAAGAAAAAACAAAAGAUCAGAAAUGUUAUGAAACUAGUCUGUACUUACAAUGCAUUGAUUUGUAAACGAAAUACAGGUAAAGAAAAUUUAGAAUCAGCAGAAAAAGAAAUAGAUUUGAAUGGGUUAACAGAAGACAAAUCAGAUUUAAAUGAACAGUGUAACAAUGUAACAGAGAGAACAUUGUCAGAAACAGUCUGUGAAUUAGAGGAUAGAGUUGAACUAAGAAAUGAUCUUAUUUGCCAGCUUAGAAAUGAAGUUAAGCACGAGUGUGUGUUAAUACAAGAAAAAUAAAGGCACAGAAUCUAAUCCCAGAACCAAUAGAUACUGAAAAUGUAUCCUCACAGAGUGAUUUGCAGAAAUAUAAAUUUCAAGACAGAGCUGCAAAACUUAAUUUGAAGAUCCAUGAACAAUUAAUGAAAAUUGUGAAAUGUAUUCCAGUUUAUGACACG